RNAcentral lists this long non-coding RNA (616 nucleotides) under Cyanistes caeruleus (blue tit). Its description in RNAcentral is "lncRNA (ENSCCEG00000008814.1)". Lineage: Eukaryota; Metazoa; Chordata; Aves; Passeriformes; Paridae. The record is from RNAcentral.
UUGUUCUGUAAAUGGUGUGCCAGUGAAUAAUGUGGUCAUCCUUUCUUUCUUUCUUUUAGGAGAAUUCAUGGAUCCCAAGUGAAGCUGUCUUUCACUUCUUUGUUGGGACUCCAAAGUCAGACUUGAAAAGAGAUAUUGGUGUUGACAUAAGUUUUAGUGUCCCACAGAAGAAAUUCAGAAUCCAAUUUAUACAACCUAAGAAAAAAAUUGAGAUGGAUGGGAGGAUUGAGUUUUCUAAAAGUUCCCAAGUUGGACACCUGGAGCUGAUAGUGGAUGACCAAGAUGUGUAUUACAUUAAGGGAAUGGCAGAUUUGCAGAUGCUGAGUGGAGAGCAGAGAUACAUGACCCAGCUGGAGGUAAAGCUGAUAAAGCAAAGCAGUCCUAUCAUUUUGUCAGGAAACAUCACUAAACAGCUUGGCAAGAAGAUAGCUUUUUCAGUAUCUCUGAAUAAUUUGUUGAAGGAUGCUGCAUUUCUUUCAGGUUAGAGGACAGUAAGUAUUUGGCAUAUAAAUGCAAGUUCUGGAGCUGUUAUUUGUUAGGGUUGCUUGAUUUUAGACAUUUACUCCUAAAAUUGCUUUCAAAUCCAUAAAGACUGCUUUUUAAAAUUACUAUCCUG